Molecule: non-coding RNA, 174 nt
Filed under: Selenomonas sp. KH1T6
Lineage: Bacteria; Bacillati; Bacillota; Negativicutes; Selenomonadales; Selenomonadaceae
Description: 6S / SsrS RNA
Rfam family: 6S / SsrS RNA
About the family: E. coli 6S RNA was the first non coding RNA to be sequenced, but its function was unknown until recently. It consists of 184 nucleotides that fold into an extended hairpin structure with a large single-stranded internal bulge.
Source: RNAcentral
ACAAGCCUGGAAUGUGCGCGGGCUUUAACAAUGUCUAACCUACAUAUUUCAUAGGGAAUCCGAUUUGAUCCUGGUGGAGGUUCGCCACGGCGAAAUGCUGAAGUCAGGCUUAGGGCACCCACCUGCUAUCCGCAGGUUUUAGACAUUUAAAGCGAACGGCAUUUUGGACCCCUG